AGUUCUUUUCAGAAAUAUCCUGAAUUUGUUAUGGCCUGAAAUGGGGGUUUGUUGCCUGACAGUGAAUGCGCUGGUGGAGGAGAGGGGUCCAUGUCAGUGACGGCGUAGUCAACAGCACUUGUCCUGAGAGCUGAGCAGGUCCAGGAAGUUGCCUGCUUCCACCACGCAGCGUAUGUUAAAAGAACCUGCCUGCAUCAAGCUGGGGAAUCUCCACCAGGAGAAUCUCCAUGGAGAGGACCGGAAGCACGUGACCUCCAUGUAGAAGACCCAAUGAAAAAGCAGAAGGACUGGAAAUUGCAUAACCUCCACACCCCAAAUCUACCAGGAGCAUCUCCACCAUCAAUCUCCAUGGAGAGGACCGGAAGCACAUGACCUCCAUGUAGAGGAUCCAAUGAUAAAGCAGUAGAACCUGCCUGCAGCAAGCUGGGGAAUCUCCACCAGGACAAUCUCCCCGGAGAGGACCGGAAGCACGUGACCUCCAUGUAGAGGACCCAAUGAAAAAGCAGAAGGACUGGAAAUUGCGUAACCUCCACACCCCAAAUCUACCAGGAGCAUCUCCACUAUCGAUCUCCACGGAGAGGACAGGAAGCACGUGACCUCCAUGUGAAGGACCCAAUGAAAAAAGUGGAAGGACACGGAAAUUGCGUAACCUGCACACCACGAAUUCAAGUCACCUGACCUCCUUUAUUUCGGAAACGAGUUGGUUUUUAAGAUGUUACCACUUGUAUAUCAAGUCGUUUUAAUUAACGGUCGAUAAGUCUGGUUACAACGCAGCACUUAGCUACGUUAAGAUAACACCCUUAGUGCUCCGUACUAGGCUAAUAACAAGCCGGGCGUAAUGCUGGCUUCAUGUAUAAAUUAUAUAUAAUGCAUAUUUUAAUUACUGUUUAUUUAAAUGUACAUGUAUUCACUGUAGCCUUACAGUGGGCCUAUAAUUAGUUUUAGAAGUCUCGGUAUGCUGUGACUAUGAUACCCUCGCAUCUACGAUACCAUGUUUACCUUAAAAGGGAGUUGUCAUCUCUUCUCUGGAGACACACCUGUUUGUGCAUUUACGAGUCUGGUGUUUCUCAGGGAAUACAACUGAUAACUUCUAAUGAUUAAUCAGUUCAUGACAAUUUAAUUAUUCAUGUCUAAUGAGAAUAUUUUUGAUUAAACUCAUUUUAAUCUUA
This is a long non-coding RNA of Anguilla rostrata (American eel), 1169 nucleotides long. RefSeq lists it as uncharacterized. Lineage: Eukaryota; Metazoa; Chordata; Actinopteri; Anguilliformes; Anguillidae. The record is from RefSeq and is a predicted model, not a curated record. The transcript is spliced from 2 exons.